Unclassified non-coding RNA from Erinaceus europaeus (western European hedgehog), 323 nucleotides. Its record names the gene 7SK. It matches the Rfam family "7SK RNA". Rfam says of the family: 7SK was discovered as an abundant small nuclear RNA in the mid-70s but a possible function has only recently been suggested. Two independent studies have found that 7SK RNA binds the CDK9/cyclin T complex (known as elongation factor P-TEFb). Lineage: Eukaryota; Metazoa; Chordata; Mammalia; Eulipotyphla; Erinaceidae. The record is from Ensembl.
GGCUGUGAGGGUGAUCUGGCUGCGACAUCUGUCACCCCACUGAUCGCCAGGGUUGAUUCAGCUGAUCUGGCUGGCUAGGCGGGUGUCCCCUUCCUCCCUCACCACUCCAUGUGCUUCCCUGUCCCUCCUGAAGCUGUGUGCUUGGUUGAAGAGGAUGGCCCUCCCAGAAUAGAGGCAGACCCGUCUUUGGUCGAGGAUAUGUGAGUAGCUGCGCUCCCCUGCUAGAACCUCCAAAUGAGCUCUCAAGGUCCAUUUGUAGUCAAGCUUCUGAGACUCCAGACACAUCCAAAUGAGGUGCUGCAUGUGGCAAACUGCCUUUCUUA